AAUAAAAUAAAAUAAAAAUAAAAAUGAGCGCUAAACUAGUAGCCAAGUUGCAAAAUCAGGCACUAAGCAAACCAACAAAAAUUGGUGACGCUGUGGUCACGUGCUCAAAUGCAUGGCCCACUUACAUAUUAACACGCAUCAGUUCCACGUCAGAUAUAGAGACAAUAUCCUAUCGUGGUCGUUCGUGCCACGUUGGCUUCGUAUCUGUACAGAGACAGGCUCCAGUCACAAUAGCCACCCACCUGGAAUUGGAAUGGUUGGGUGGGUAGGUGGAGGUUUAGCCAUAGUUUAAUUAUAAUUAUUAGAUUUAAUCAUGACAGUGUGUGGGGCCCAAAACACGUCAGCUCUGACUGUAACACAAUAGAUUUCCCAGUGCAAUAAUACAGUAAAAUGGUUAAUUUUGACGUAAUUACAACCGUUGGAUUUUGUUAAUUUUUUUUUAUCGGAUAUUUUUAUUUCCACGUAUCAGUUUUACAAUAUAAAAAAAUAAUUCUUUUAAGAACUAUGAUAGUUUCUUUUAAUAAUAAUUUUUUUAAAGAUCGAAUCUAA
This 549-nucleotide unclassified non-coding RNA is filed under the name Hevea brasiliensis (rubber tree). Lineage: Eukaryota; Viridiplantae; Streptophyta; Magnoliopsida; Malpighiales; Euphorbiaceae. The record is from RNAcentral.